Molecule: long non-coding RNA, 506 nt
Organism: Tympanuchus pallidicinctus (lesser prairie-chicken)
Lineage: Eukaryota; Metazoa; Chordata; Aves; Galliformes; Phasianidae
Exons: 4
Source: RefSeq, a predicted model, not a curated record
AGGGUCCUUAAAGGUCACAGAACCACAGAAUGUGUUGGGCUGAAUGGGUCCUUGAAGGCCAAAGAACCAUUGAAUGUGUUGGGUUGAAUGGGUCCUUGAAGGUCACAGAACCAUAGAAUGUGUUGGGUUGAAUGGGUCCUUGAAGGUUACAGAACCAUAGAAUGUGUUGGGUUGAAUGGGUCCUUGAAGGUCACAGAACCAUAGAAUGUGGUGGGUUGAAUGGGUCCUUAAAGGUCACAGAACCACAGAAUGUGUUGGACUGAAUGGGUCCUUGAAGGUCACAGAACCAUAGAAUGUGUUGGGUUGAAUGGGUCCUUGAAAGCCAAAGAACCCCAGAAUGUGGUGGGUUGAAUGGGUCCUCGAAGGUAACAUAACCAUACAAUCUGUAGGACUGAAUGGGUCCUUGAAGGUCACAGAACCAUCGAAUGUGUUGGGUUGAAUGGGUCCUUGAAGGUCACAUAACCAUACAAUCUGUAGGACUGAAGGGUCCUUGCAGGUCACAGAAC